This 497-nucleotide ribosomal RNA is filed under the name uncultured bacterium. RNAcentral describes it as "partial 16S ribosomal RNA". It matches the Rfam family "Bacterial small subunit ribosomal RNA", at positions 28 to 507 of the family's 1533-position model. The record is from RNAcentral.
GAUGAACGCUGGCGGCGUGCCUAAUACAUGCAAGUCGAGCGAACAGACGAGGAGCUUGCUCCUCUGACGUUAGCGGCGGACGGGUGAGUAACACGUGGAUAACCUACCUAUAAGACUGGGAUAACUUCGGGAAACCGGAGCUAAUACCGGAUAAUAUAUUGAACCGCAAGGUUCAAUAGUGAAAGACGGUUUUGCUGUCACUUAUAGAUGGAUCCGCGCCGCAUUAGCUAGUUGGUAAGGUAACGGCUUACCAAGGCGACGAUGCGUAGCCGACCUGAGAGGGUGAUCGGCCACACUGGAACUGAGACACGGUCCAGACUCCUACGGGAGGCAGCAGUAGGGAAUCUUCCGCAAUGGGCGAAAGCCUGACGGAGCAACGACGCGUGAGUGAUGAAGGUCUUCGGAUCGUAAAACUCUGUUAUUAGGGAAGAACAAAUGUGUAAGUAACUAUGCACGUCUUGACGGUACCUAAUCAGAAAGCCACGGCUAACUACGUG